Molecule: ribosomal RNA, 467 nt
Filed under: uncultured bacterium
Lineage: Bacteria
Description: partial 16S ribosomal RNA
Rfam family: Bacterial small subunit ribosomal RNA
Source: RNAcentral
GACGAACGCUGGCGGCGUGCUUAACACAUGCAAGUCGAACGGAAACGCCCUGCUUUUGUGGGGUGCUCGAGUGGCGAACGGGUGAGUAACACGUGAGUAACCUGCCCUUGACUUUGGGAUAACUUCAGGAAACUGGGGCUAAUACCGGAUAGGAGCUCCUGCUGCAUGGUGGGGGUUGGAAAGUUUCGGCGGUUGGGGAUGGACUCGCGGCUUAUCAGCUUGUUGGUGGGGUAGUGGCUUACCAAGGCUUUGACGGGUAGCCGGCCUGAGAGGGUGACCGGCAAAAUGGGGACUGAGAUACGGCCCAGACUCCUACGGGAGGAAGCAGUGGGGAAUAUUGAACAAGGGGCGGAAGCCUGAUGAAGAAAGGCGGCGUGCGGGAUGACGGCCUUCGGGUUGUAAACCGCUUUCGCCUGUGAGGAAGCGUGGGUGACGGUAAUGGUAAAGAAGCACCGGCUAACUACGUG